This 329-nucleotide ribosomal RNA is filed under the name Dipsastraea speciosa. RNAcentral describes it as "partial small subunit ribosomal RNA". It matches the Rfam family "Bacterial small subunit ribosomal RNA", at positions 536 to 998 of the family's 1533-position model. Lineage: Eukaryota; Metazoa; Cnidaria; Anthozoa; Scleractinia; Merulinidae. The record is from RNAcentral.
AAGGGUUUGUUUUUUAGAAAAAGCAGAAAGCGUGUAGAGGUAAAACAUUUAAAAUAAAUAGAAUUUUUUUAGUAAUAGUGCAAUAUUAAAAGAAGAAAAAGAAUUUUUUAUGUGAAGACAAUUUAUUUUUUUUCUUUAACACGAAGGUUCUGGGAGCGAACAGGAUUAGAGACCCUGGUAGUCGAUACAGUAAAAGAAAGUCGCUUGAGUAGUACGGUCGCAAGAUUAAAAUUCAAAAAACUUGGCUGUUCAUUGUUAUUUAGAGGAGCGUGUUGCUUAAUUCGAUAAUCCGCGAGUUACCUUACCAAAACUAGCUUUUACAGGUGUUG